This 480-nucleotide ribosomal RNA is filed under the name uncultured bacterium. Its description in RNAcentral is "SSU rRNA". It matches the Rfam family "Bacterial small subunit ribosomal RNA", at positions 26 to 521 of the family's 1533-position model. The record is from RNAcentral.
AGGACGAACGCUGGCGGCGUGCUUAACACAUGCAAGUCGAACGGUGAAGCCCUUCGGGGUGGAUCAGUGGCGAACGGGUGAGUAACACGUGAGCAAUCUGCCCUUGACUCUGGGAUAACUUCGGGAAACCGGAGCUAAUACCGGAUAUGACGCACGGCCGCAUGGUCUGUGUGUGGAAAGAUUUAUUGGUCAGGGAUGAGCUCGCGGCCUAUCAGCUUGUUGGUGGGGUAAUGGCCUACCAAGGCGACGACGGGUAGCCGGCCUGAGAGGGCGACCGGCCACGACUGGGACUGAGACACGGCCCAGACUCCUACGGGAGGCAGCAGUGGGGAAUAUUGCGCAAUGGGCGAAAGCCUGACGCAGCGACGCCGCGUGAGGGAUGAAGACCUUCGGGUCGUAAACCUCUUUCAGCAGGGAAGAAGCGAAAGUGACGGUACCUGCAGAAGAAGCACCGGCUAACUACGUGCCAGCAGCCGCGGU